CAGAGAAUAGUUUAUAUAAAAUAUUAAUUUUGGAGAUUAAUGAAAAGUUUUUCUUUUCUCUGA
This 63-nucleotide transfer RNA is filed under the name Rhyzopertha dominica (lesser grain borer). RNAcentral describes it as "tRNA-Pro". The record is from RNAcentral. Lineage: Eukaryota; Metazoa; Arthropoda; Insecta; Coleoptera; Bostrichidae.